CUCCGUCCCCGAAGCCACCGACGCCUAAGCCCACACCACCCACGUAUACCCCGACCCCGAAGCCGCCCACUCCCACACCAAAGCCCACGCCGCCAACGUACAAGCCGGCACCCAAGCCCACUCCUCCCACGUAUAAGCCCACACCCAAGCCCUCGCCGCCGACGUACCCGCCGAAGCCAACACCACCCACCUACAAGCCGGCGCCGAAGCCGACUCCCCCGACCUACAAGCCGGCGCCGAAGCCGACACCGCCCACCUACAAGCCCGCGCCGAAGCCGACGCCCCCGACCUACAAGCCGGACCCCAAGCCGACUCCCCCGACGUACAAGCCCGCGCCGAAGCCGGCCCCCAAGCCUACGCCCCCGAACUACAAGCCGGCGCCGAAGCCGACGCCGCCGUCGUACAAGCCGGCCCCGAAGCCCACUCCCCCGGCACCGAAGCCCACGCCGCCGACACCACCAGCCUACAAGCCGGCGCCGAAGCCGAGCCCUCCGACGCCCGCCCCGCCGGCGUACAAGCCUCCGACUCCGACUCCUCCGGCGUACAAGACCCCCACUCCGAGCCCGCCGCCGCCGCC
Molecule: long non-coding RNA, 577 nt
Filed under: Brachypodium distachyon (stiff brome)
Lineage: Eukaryota; Viridiplantae; Streptophyta; Magnoliopsida; Poales; Poaceae
Description: long non-coding RNA (BDIS_LNC005761)
Source: RNAcentral